RNAcentral lists this ribosomal RNA (312 nucleotides) under Triticum aestivum (bread wheat). RNAcentral's name for it is "partial small subunit ribosomal RNA". The record is from RNAcentral. Lineage: Eukaryota; Viridiplantae; Streptophyta; Magnoliopsida; Poales; Poaceae.
AUGUCCCCGGGGGAUAAUCGCACGCCGCCCGCCUCCCUCUCACCCGCUCUAUCCCUGGCCACCACAGACGGGUGCUACAGCGGCAACAAUGGCUAUCGUGAGUCCGCGGCAUGGAUUGGAUCCACCGACGACUCAUCUGGGUCUUCUCCCGUGCAGGUUGUCGGACUCCGACGAGGACCUGGUGGUCUGCGGGAUCAAGUUCUGAUCUUUUGGUCACUAACGAGUCGAAUGCUCGUCGUUGUCACCGCAAGAAUGCCAAGUUGCUGCGAGAGGGCAUCGAGGCUUCAUGGAUUGAAGCUGAGCCCUCGCUGA